Long non-coding RNA from Tupaia belangeri chinensis (Chinese tree shrew), 191 nucleotides. RefSeq lists it as uncharacterized. The transcript has 3 exons. NCBI's taxonomy places the organism in Eukaryota, Metazoa, Chordata, Mammalia, Scandentia, Tupaiidae. The record is from RefSeq and is a predicted model, not a curated record.
GAUGGGCACAUGUGCAUGCAUGUCCAGAAUCUCAACAGGUGCCCAAAGAUUAUGCUGUUCCUGUACCACCAUGUGCUGAUGACAUCGUGUUACCUGAUGGUGUCCCUUCCCCUGGAGCUAGUCUUUCUACAAAGGAAUCUCCUCAGCUGACGGAAAAUAAACGUAGCUGCCAGCAACCGGCUCCCCGGGCA